This 490-nucleotide ribosomal RNA is filed under the name uncultured bacterium. Its description in RNAcentral is "bacterial SSU rRNA". It matches the Rfam family "Bacterial small subunit ribosomal RNA", at positions 28 to 530 of the family's 1533-position model. The record is from RNAcentral.
GAUGAACGCUGGCGGCGUGCCUAAUACAUGCAAGUCGAACGAGGUGCUUUUGUAGCAAUACGAGAGUAUCCUAGUGGCGAACGGGUGAGUAACGCGUGGAUGACCUGCCCCAAAGUGUGGGAUAACAGUCCGAAAGGAUUGCUAAUACCUCAUGUGGUUAUCGGUUUUAGAAAGCGAUAACUAAAGCAGCAAUGCGCUUUGGGAGGGAUCUGCGUCCCAUCAGCUAGUUGGUGAGGUAACGGCUCACCAAGGCGACGACGGGUAGGGGACCUGAGAGGGUGGCCCCCCACAAUGGAACUGAAACACGGUCCAUACACCUACGGGUGGCAGCAGUAGGGAAUAUUGCUCAAUGGGCGAAAGCCUGAAGCAGCAACGCCGCGUGUGCGAUGAAGGCCUUGGGUCGUAAAGCACUUUCUAAGAGAUGAGAAAGGACAGUAUCUUAGGAAUAAGUCUCGGCUAACUACGUGCCAGCAGCCGCGGUAAUGUCUAG